Molecule: long non-coding RNA, 595 nt
Organism: Oreochromis niloticus (Nile tilapia)
Lineage: Eukaryota; Metazoa; Chordata; Actinopteri; Cichliformes; Cichlidae
Exons: 3
Source: RefSeq, a predicted model, not a curated record
GUGUGAAGUGGAUGCUGAAACGAAAUAAAGUCGUGCACUGAAAGGAGCUCGCCACAGCACAGCAGCUGUGUGACAUCCAAAACACUGCAGGUAGCGCACCUGAGCAGGCUCACCUCCACUGGAGACGAUGACUGCUGUCAAGAUACGAUCAGCGCAGGUUUUACAGUCUUCCUGAAUAAACAGCGAGACUUGGAUCUCCUGGUGUGUUGCUCACUUGGUUGGCUGUUGUGAAGGGAUUUCUCUUCACCAUGGAAAUAAUUCUGCGAUCAUCCACCACAAUUGUCUUCCGUCUUAAGGAUGGCUUGUUUCACCUGCAUGAAGAGCUCCUUUGACCGCAUGUUGUCUGUUCAAAGCAAAAUCUUCCAAAUGCAAGCACCACACAUCAAAUCAACUCCAGCCUUUUAUCUGCUUACUGUAAUUGAUAAUAACAUGACAAAGGAAAUACCCACACCUGCCCAUGAAAUAGCCUUUGAGUCACUUCUUCAGUUACUUUUUGCCCCUUUAAAAAGACGGUGGCACAAACUAAAGAGCUGAAACUCCCAAAUCCUUCACCCAAUUUGAAUGUGGAUGCCCUCAAAUAAAAACUAAGAGUCUA